AGAACGAACGCUGGCGGCAUGCCUAAUACAUGCAAGUCGAACGAACACUCUGACUUCGGUUGGGGUGUUAGUGGCGCACGGGUGCGUAACGCGUGGGAAUCUGCCCUUGGGUUCGGAAUAACAGUUGGAAACGACUGCUAAUACCGGAUGAUAUCGAAAGAUCAAAGAUUUAUCGCCCAGGGAUGAGCCCGCGUAGGAUUAGCUAGUUGGUGGGGUAAAGGCUCACCAAGGCGACGAUCCUUAGCUGGUCUGAGAGGAUGAUCAGCCACACUGGGACUGAGACACGGCCCAGACUCCUACGGGAGGCAGCAGUAGGGAAUAUUGGACAAUGGGCGCAAGCCUGAUCCAGCAAUGCCGCGUGAGUGAUGAAGGCCUUAGGGUUGUAAAGCUCUUUUACCCGAGAUGAUAAUGACAGUAUCGGAGAAUAAGCCCCGGCUAACUCCGUGCCAGCAGCCGC
This 457-nucleotide ribosomal RNA is filed under the name uncultured soil bacterium. RNAcentral describes it as "bacterial SSU rRNA". It matches the Rfam family "Bacterial small subunit ribosomal RNA", at positions 26 to 518 of the family's 1533-position model. The record is from RNAcentral.